RNAcentral lists this ribosomal RNA (468 nucleotides) under uncultured bacterium. RNAcentral's name for it is "partial 16S ribosomal RNA". It matches the Rfam family "Bacterial small subunit ribosomal RNA", at positions 28 to 507 of the family's 1533-position model. The record is from RNAcentral.
GACGAACGCUGGCGGCGUGCUUAACACAUGCAAGUCGAACGGAAAGGCCCUGCUUUUGUGGGGUGCUCGAGUGGCGAACGGGUGAGUAACACGUGAGUAACCUGCCCUUGACUUUGGGAUAACUUCAGGAAACUGGGGCUAAUACCGGAUAGGAGCUCCUGCUGCAUGGUGGGGGUUGGAAAGUUUCGGCGGUUGGGGAUGGACUCGCGGCUUAUCAGCUUGUUGGUGGGGUAGUGGCUUACCAAGGCUUUGACGGGUAGCCGGCCUGAGAGGGUGACCGGACGCAUUGGGACUGAGGUACGGGCCGGAGUCCUACGGGGGGCAGACGGGGGGAGUGUUGCACAAGGGGCGGGAGCCUGAUGCAGCUACGCCGGGUGCGGGAUGACGGGCUUGGUAUUGUAAACCGACUUCGCCUGUAACGAAGCGUGAGGGGCGGUAAUGAGUAAGGAAGCACCGGCUAACGACGUG